GAGCGCUCCUGGUGUCUGCACCUCUCUCUUCUAUUACACUCACAAAGAUGUAACUUUGGCUCAAGCUACUGAACUUUGGCACCAGGCAAUAAGCCACCUUCUCUGGAUGCCUAAGGUUGGAUAGAUCCCUAAGGACAAACGAGUUGGACUGAUAAAUGGCAAGAAAAACGUGAGUGAAGCAGUGCAGUGGAUGCCGUCACCAAAGUGGGGUAACUGAGAUGGCAGAGACCUGCUCAAAGGGCUCAGAGUGCAUUAUGUCUAGUGCAGGACAGCACGGUGAACAUCCAGGAACUGGUGAAACCAACUGCACUGUCAGAACAACCUGUGUGCUGUCAUUUGUAAAGGUGCUGUAAGUAAAACAGCUCUUGUUGUAAUGUGCAGGCUCUGGCCUUCAGAGAAACAGGAUCCGAGACAUUUAU
Long non-coding RNA from Tyto alba (common barn owl), 419 nucleotides. RefSeq lists it as uncharacterized. The transcript has 3 exons. The record is from RefSeq and is a predicted model, not a curated record. Lineage: Eukaryota; Metazoa; Chordata; Aves; Strigiformes; Tytonidae.